This 1450-nucleotide ribosomal RNA is filed under the name uncultured Bordetella sp. RNAcentral's name for it is "partial 16S-23S ribosomal RNA intergenic spacer". It matches the Rfam family "Bacterial small subunit ribosomal RNA". Lineage: Bacteria; Pseudomonadati; Pseudomonadota; Betaproteobacteria; Burkholderiales; Alcaligenaceae. The record is from RNAcentral.
AGUUCGAUCAUGGCUCAGAUUGAACGCUGGCGUGGAUGCUUACACAUGCAAAGUCGAACGCGUUAACGACUUCGGUCUGCGGCGAGCGGCGAACGGGGUGAGCAAUGCAUCGGAACGUGCCCAGCAGCGGGGAUAACUACGCAUGGUGGCGUUAAUAGCCGCAUACCACCCUUCUGGGAAAGCGGACUCGGACCGCACCGUUAGAGCGGCUGAUAUCGGAUUAGCUAGUUGGUAGUAACGGCUCACAAGGCGGCGAUCCGUAGCUGGUUUGAGAGGACGACCAGCCACACUGGGACCGAGACACGGCCCAGACUUACGAGGUAUAGUGGGCAAUUCUUGAUAAUGGGGAACCUGAUCCAGCCAUCCCGCGUGUGCGAUGGAAGGCCUUCGGGUUGAAGCACUUUGGCAUGGAAAGAAACGGCACGCAGGAUAAUACCCCGCAACUGACGGUACCUGCAGAAUAGCACCGUUAACCACGUGCCAGCAGCCGCGGGCAAUACGUAGGGUGGCAGACCGAAUACUGGGCGCAAAGCGUGCGCGCAGGCGGUUCGGAAAAAACAGCGAUGUGAAACUUCUGUGAGCGUGAUCUGGAACUACAUUUUAAUCACCGAGCUAUAUGUGUCAGAGUGAGGUGAAUUUCGGCGUGCAGCAGUGAAAUGCGUAGAUAUGCGGAUGGAACACCGAUGGCGAAGGCAGCUCUCCUGAUAACACUGAUGCUCAUGCACGAAAGCGCGGGGAUAAAACAGGGAUUUAGGAUACUCUGGUAGUCCACGCCCUAAACGAUGUCAACUAGUUGUUGGGGCCCUCGGGCCUUGGUAGCAGCCAACGCGUGAAGUUGACCGCCUGGGGAGUACGUCGCAAGAUUAAAACUCAAAGGAAUUGACGGGACCCGCACAAGCGGUGGAUGAUGUGGAUUAUCUGAUGCAACGCAAAACCUUACCUAAAAUUUUGAUGUUCGAAUCCCGAAGAGAUUUGCAGGCCAUGCAGAGAACCGGAACACAGGUGCUGCAUGGCUGUUGCCAGCCCGUGUCGUGAGAUGUUAAGUCGCACGAGCGCAACCCUUGUCAUUAGUUGCUACUGCAAAAGGGUAAUUUAAUGAGAUCGCCGGUGACAACCGAGGAAGGUGGGGAUGACGUCGUCCUCAUGGCCCUGCGGGCAGGGCUUCACACGUCAUACAAUGGUCGGGACAGAGGGUCGCCAACCUCAUGAGUGGGAGCCAAUCCCAGAAACCCGAUCGUAGUCCGGAUCGCAGCGCUCCAACGCCGACUGCGUGAAGUCGGAAUCGCUAGCACCGUGGAUCAGCAUGUCGCGGUGAAUACGUUCCCCGGUCUUGCAAUACACACCGCCCGUCACACCAUGUGAGUGUGGUUGCGUACCAUAGUUGUUAGCUUCAACUGUGGCAGAGUGCAUGAUGCCACUUGAUCUUGCGAUCAGUGUAGUCGUAACAAGG